AUGAGUGUAGCUCAGUGGUGGAGCGCUUGACUAAUGUCUAAGAGAUGCUGGGUUCCAUCCCUAGACACACACA
Molecule: transfer RNA, 73 nt
Filed under: Heterocephalus glaber (naked mole-rat)
Lineage: Eukaryota; Metazoa; Chordata; Mammalia; Rodentia; Bathyergidae
Rfam family: tRNA
About the family: Transfer RNA (tRNA) molecules are approximately 80 nucleotides in length. Their secondary structure includes four short double-helical elements and three loops (D, anti-codon, and T loops). Further hydrogen bonds mediate the characteristic L-shaped molecular structure. tRNAs have two regions of fundamental functional importance: the anti-codon, which is responsible for specific mRNA codon recognition, and the 3' end, to which the tRNAs corresponding amino acid is attached (by aminoacyl-tRNA synthetases). tRNAs cope with the degeneracy of the genetic code in two manners: having more than one tRNA (with a specific anti-codon) for a particular amino acid; and 'wobble' base-pairing, i.e. permitting non-standard base-pairing at the 3rd anti-codon position.
Source: Rfam by way of RNAcentral